Non-coding RNA from Malus domestica (apple), 306 nucleotides. The record is from RefSeq and is a predicted model, not a curated record. Lineage: Eukaryota; Viridiplantae; Streptophyta; Magnoliopsida; Rosales; Rosaceae.
UCCGUCCCCCGUGUAUCUCUCUCUCCUCCCUCACGGCUUUCUCUCGCUCUCUCCCUCUCGAAUUGUAUGGACAAGCUAGGAACCUCCCAUUUCUUCACGGAUCGAAGGUUCUAAGGGAAUUUCAAGCUCACAGUGAGCUUAAGGAGAUCCUCACGAGCUUCGGGGUACUUCGUUGGUAGAAUUUAGACGUCGGAGGACUGAGAACGGAGUUUUUCAAAUUUGGCCGGAUUAUCGAGCUUUCUCAGGUGACACCUAUCCCGAGGACGAGCGUAUCCAGGGACGUCACGGGGGCUACGACCCAUCGAC